RNAcentral lists this long non-coding RNA (736 nucleotides) under Heterocephalus glaber (naked mole-rat). Its description in RNAcentral is "lncRNA (ENSHGLG00100031860.2)". Lineage: Eukaryota; Metazoa; Chordata; Mammalia; Rodentia; Bathyergidae. The record is from RNAcentral.
GGAGUGCACAUAUACCUCUUUUGGAUCCUGAUUUCAGUUGCUUUGACUCCACAUGCAGAAGUGAGAAUGCUGCAUGAGUCUAAGUAUUAAACCAGUUUUACUGAUGGAGAAAAUGAGGCCUAGAGCUGUGAUUUGCUGGGGGAGCCAGAACAAGGAAAAGCUUGGGGUCCCAGAAAACACAGAUUCAUCCCAGAGGCAAAGGCUUAAUCACACCAGAGUUACAACAAUAGAUUCAUCUGCUGAUGGACAUACUGGAUGUGCUACUUCUAAAGUUGAGCAAUCGUGAAUUGUGCUGCUAUAAACGCAUGUCGGGGGUCUUUGGACCUUGGCCUCCAGGCAGACUGCUCAGAGAAGGGAAGAGGACAGACUACAAGGCAGAGCCUCUGAGCAGACGCAAGAAAGGCCCUGGGAGACUGGAGCCAUGCCUAACACCAGCCCCUGCCCACAUUCCCCGUCGGAUGGGGCUUGUGCUGGGGUCUGCCUGGAUCGCCUGCUCAUCCACGAGGCAGGGAAGAAGCAGCACGCGGCUCCUCUCCCACUCAGGACGUGGGCUGUACACUGCACUUCUUUGGGCUUCAGCUUCUGCAUCGGUAAAGCACACCGAGGGACAUUCAUACUUCACCAGAUUCUUGAGUGAUUUAAAUAACCCCCUACAAACAAGCGCUUAGAACAGAGCCUGCAAAUACCAAACCCUCACUAUUUAUCUGUUGUUUUCACCAUUUAAUAAACUAAUCCC